RNAcentral lists this ribosomal RNA (253 nucleotides) under uncultured bacterium. Its description in RNAcentral is "partial 16S ribosomal RNA". It matches the Rfam family "Bacterial small subunit ribosomal RNA", at positions 524 to 776 of the family's 1533-position model. The record is from RNAcentral.
UACGUAGGGUGCGAGCGUUGUCCGGAAUUAUUGGGCGUAAAGAGCGUGUAGGCGGCCACGCAGGUCCGUUGUGAAAACUGGAGGCUCAACCUCCAGCUGUCGACGGAAACCGUAUGGCUAGAGUCCGGAAGAGGAGAGUGGAAUUCCUGGUGUAGCGGUGAAAUGCGCAGAUAUCAGGAGGAACACCAAUGGCGAAGGCAGCUCUCUGGGACGGUACUGACGCUGAGACGCGAAAGCGUGGGGAGCGAACAGG